This 305-nucleotide ribosomal RNA is filed under the name uncultured bacterium. Its description in RNAcentral is "bacterial SSU rRNA". It matches the Rfam family "Bacterial small subunit ribosomal RNA", at positions 334 to 637 of the family's 1533-position model. The record is from RNAcentral.
UCGUCCUACGGGGGGCAGCAGUGAGGAAUAUUGGUCAAUGGCCGUAAGGCUGAACCAGCCAAGUAGCGUGAGGGAAGACUGCCCUAUGGGUUGUAAACCUCUUUUGUCAGGGAACAAAGGCGGGGACUAGUCCCCGGAUGAGGGUACCUGAAGAAAAAGCAUCGGCUAACUCCGUGCCAGCAGCCGCGGUAAUACGGAGGAUGCGAGCGUUAUCCGGAUUUAUUGGGUUUAAAGGGUGCGCAGGCGGCCUGUUAAGUCAGCGGUAAAAGCCCGGGGCUCAACCCCGGCGAGCCGUUGAAACUGGC